Molecule: long non-coding RNA, 106 nt
Organism: Xiphophorus hellerii (green swordtail)
Lineage: Eukaryota; Metazoa; Chordata; Actinopteri; Cyprinodontiformes; Poeciliidae
Exons: 4
Source: RefSeq, a predicted model, not a curated record
AAAUAGAAGCUCAGGGAGGAAGAGGAGUGGAUUGAUCUUUUACACAUUAUUUGUCUCAUAACAUACUGUCACAAUGUGGUGCCAAUUUCAACAAAUAUGUAAAAAA